This 77-nucleotide transfer RNA is filed under the name Butyricicoccus sp. Its description in RNAcentral is "tRNA-Ile". It matches the Rfam family "tRNA". From Rfam's summary of the family: Transfer RNA (tRNA) molecules are approximately 80 nucleotides in length. Their secondary structure includes four short double-helical elements and three loops (D, anti-codon, and T loops). Further hydrogen bonds mediate the characteristic L-shaped molecular structure. tRNAs have two regions of fundamental functional importance: the anti-codon, which is responsible for specific mRNA codon recognition, and the 3' end, to which the tRNAs corresponding amino acid is attached (by aminoacyl-tRNA synthetases). tRNAs cope with the degeneracy of the genetic code in two manners: having more than one tRNA (with a specific anti-codon) for a particular amino acid; and 'wobble' base-pairing, i.e. permitting non-standard base-pairing at the 3rd anti-codon position. The record is from RNAcentral. Lineage: Bacteria; Bacillati; Bacillota; Clostridia; Eubacteriales; Butyricicoccaceae.
GGGCCUUUAGCUCAGUUGGUUAGAGCAGACGGCUCAUAACCGUCCGGUCCUGGGUUCGAGUCCCUGAAGGCCCACCA